CAGGGAGACAAACAAUUGAUCUUGAUGUCUAAGUAUUUAAAUUCUUAGGCCUAGAUCCUGUCACCUUAGGUCGAUCGGUACCUCAGAUUCAUUUUUAAUUCGGAGUUUAUAAUUCCAGAAAUACAUGAAUUUCAGUUCCUAAACUUUGUCUAGGUCACACCCCGCAAGGGUUACUCCUGGGCCAUUAGCUCAGGUGGUUAGAGCGCACCCCUGAUAAGGGUGAGGUCCCUGGUUCAAGUCCAGGAUGGCCCAUUCGGUGUUGGGGGUAUAGCUCAGUUGGUAGAGCGCCUGCUUUGCAAGCAGGAUGUCAGCGGUUCGAGUCCGCUUACCUCCACUGAUCCACUCCUGAUAGCGAAAACCAAAUUGGAGAUAUCAAUGUUUCUUGUGACUUAGAAGUUAUUUCUCUGAAAUGAACCUAGCUUCCUUUCAUUCCACAAAAAGCUAAAAUUAAAAUAGUUUUAGGUUGUAAGGAUGCUGGGCUCACUGAAAUUCAACGAAUUUUUAGUAAGUUCAGUAGAACCUUGAAAACUGCAUAGGUAAGUCUGGAAAAAAUAAAGCAUCUCAUGGAUGCAUUAUUUCUUUUAUUUAUAUUAGGAAUUCAUCGCCUCUGUGUGCCUUAAAUAAAAUUUCCUAAGUUUAAGUAAAAAGAAAUUGUGUUUAAUUCUUGAGUUAAGAGCCAAGACUCUAAAAAUAUUAAUUUAGAGUUAAU
Molecule: transfer RNA, 709 nt
Filed under: uncultured Prochlorococcus sp.
Lineage: Bacteria; Bacillati; Cyanobacteriota; Cyanophyceae; Synechococcales; Prochlorococcaceae
Rfam family: tRNA (bases 262-334)
Source: RNAcentral